GUGCGAGUCACAGUCCCAGUCCCACCCCGCCGUGCCCAGGGCGGGGGAGCCCCAGCCCGCGCUUCGCCUGAGGGGAGGGAGCCCGCGGCCCGGGCCCCGGGAGCGCCCUGCCCGCCGUGAGGGGCUGAGGGAAGGGGGGCCCUGGCCUGCGGCCCCCGGGCACAAAAUGGCCAUCGCGGCGGUUACCGAGGCGGAAACGCGGCUCUGCGGGAACUGCAAAAAGGACAUCCCUGCUGUUAAUUUCAUCAUCCAUGAAAUCCACUGUAGCAGAAAUCUUGAAGUAUGCUGCUACUGCAGCGAAUCCAUCCCGAAGUCCGAAAUGAAGAACCACAUUGAGUCCGAGCACGUGCAGGUUACCUGCAAGUGCAGGAUGAAGAUAGAAAACAGUCUCCUGAAGGAUCAUGAGGCGUCAGCGUGCCCUCUGCGUCCUGCCCUCUGCCAGUACUGUGAUAUACAGCUUACGUUCAAGGAGCUGCUGGACCAUGAAGUUUACUGUGGGGCCAGGACUGAGCUUUGUGGAGGAUGCGGUCGUAACAUCAUGGUGAAAGAUCUCCAAGAGCAUCCUCGAGUCUGUGGGCAAGAGGUGAAGCAAGUGAGAGGAGUGGCUCGCUUUGAGGAUGAGGCUGUAGUUUUGCGUGCCCUUCAAGAUGUCAGAAGGCAACUCGGAUCAGGGAAUGAACUGGAGCAGUUGGGGAGAAGUGAAAGUGCCCAUUCUGCACUAGACGAGGGGUGGAACCCUGACUUAGACUACGCCUUGGCUCUCAGCCUCCAGAAUGAGGAUCAUCAGCACAAGAACACUGCAGCUGAAAUUCCCAGUGACUUCUGGGAAAACUGCUACACCAGAGAGUCUGUGUCAUCUGCCUAUCGUAACGAUAGAGACGAGUUGGAUACCUUCUGUGACUCUUUCGUGCCUUCUAGCAUGUCAAACAUCAGUAAAAAUGAGAUCAUCAUGUUGCCGUGUGAGUUUUGUGAGGAGCUCUACCCUGCUGAGGACCUGAUUCUUCACCAGACAGGUUGUAACCCAGCAAGUGCCUUUGCCUCGUUCAGUAAAAGAAGUUCUUCUCCGAAUCCAUGGGAAUACGAUGGUCUGCGUGCUGGUGGGUCCAAAGGCUUUGGGUCUCUCUCCUCAUCCCAGCCCCAAGCUGUGCAGGCAGAGGAAGACAUUAUCAUUCCCUGUGAGUUUUGUGGCAUCCAGCUGGAAGAGGAGACACUCUUCCAUCAUCAGCACCACUGUGACCUGCGCCCAGCCAGCCCUGCCACCAGCUUCCCAUCUUGGCAGCCGCCCUCUCCACAGGCCAGCAGAGAGAGAAGAGGAUCAGCAGAGCUGGCUCGGCAACGGGCCCGGCCCCAAGUGCUGUAUUUUGCCCUCCCAGGAGAUGGUUCUGCUUGGAGCACAGGCGGCUUUGGGCAGCAGGAGUUGAGCUGUCCUGCACGAGGGACCACAGCCCGGAGUAGCGCGGCACACGCCAGGAACGCACCCCUGGCCUCUUCCCUGAGAGCUGGAGAUGCUUCUGCCUCCAGAGGGAAGCCCAGGAAGGCGUCUGUCAAUGAGGGGAGGCCGAGGACCAGAGCCACAGGCGAGCCUGCGGGUGGGAAAACACCACAUGUGAGACCUGCUCAGAACUGCCAUUCAGAAGGCUUCACAUCCAGCAUCUCCAGAGCUUCACCAGGCCAGCCAAGGGCCAGCAACGGAGGAGGAAGGAGCCCUGGGGCAUGGGAACGUCCAGGCAGCCUCAGGUGCAGGAACACCAAGGCCAAAGCCCAGAGCCCAGCACGUGGACAGCCAGAGGAGCAGAGACCCACCACCAACGGGAAGCACGUUUAGCUCUACACAGUUACUGCACCCUCUACUACUUACUUCUCCGAGCGCAAGUAAACUCCUCUAUGGCCUGUAUUAUAGGCUUUUACUGCUGUGCUCUGCACUGGACCCCACCCCAAGACAGCAACGUGGGCAGCACCUGCAUUAUGUUUCCAUGGGGGCUCAUUGUGCCACCCAGUGAAGGAGGUUUUGCUGUUC
This is an RNA transcript of Pezoporus occidentalis (night parrot), 2017 nucleotides long. It is a transcript of the gene named TRAF-type zinc finger domain containing 1, with no coding region annotated. NCBI's taxonomy places the organism in Eukaryota, Metazoa, Chordata, Aves, Psittaciformes, Psittacidae. The record is from RefSeq and is a predicted model, not a curated record. The transcript has 12 exons.